ACUUUUAUAGCUUAUUUAAAGAGCGUAGUAUUGAAGAUACUAAGGAAAUAGUAUUAUUUAUAAGUA
RNAcentral lists this transfer RNA (66 nucleotides) under Myllocerinus aurolineatus. RNAcentral's name for it is "tRNA-Phe". The record is from RNAcentral. Lineage: Eukaryota; Metazoa; Arthropoda; Insecta; Coleoptera; Curculionidae.